RNAcentral lists this ribosomal RNA (465 nucleotides) under uncultured bacterium. RNAcentral's name for it is "partial 16S ribosomal RNA". It matches the Rfam family "Bacterial small subunit ribosomal RNA", at positions 28 to 507 of the family's 1533-position model. The record is from RNAcentral.
GACGAACGCUGGCGGCGUGCUUAACACAUGCAAGUCGUACGGUAAGGCCCUUUCGUGGGUAGACGAGUGGCGAACGAGUGAGUAACACACGAGUAACCUACCCACAAUUUUGGGAUAACUCUCUGAAACUGACGCGAACACUUGACAUGUACUCCUGCCGCCUGGAGGGUGUUGGAAAGCUCCGGGGGUUGGGGGUGGACUCGCGCCCUACUAGCUUGUUUGUGGGGUAGAGGCCUACCAAGGCGGGCAUUGGUAGCCGGCCUGGGAGGGUGACCGGCCACAUUGGGGGUGAGAUACACGCCAGACACCUACAGGAGGGGGAGGUGGGGAAUAAUGCACAAUUGGGGCGAGCCCGAAGCAACCACGCCGCGUGCGGGAAGACCGCCUUCGGGUUGUAAACCGCUUUCAGCAGGUACGGAGGUGUUUGUGACGGUAACUGCUAAAGAAGCACCGGCUAACUACGUG